UGCCUGGGNGNACAANCUGCCAGCACUGCCGCGUGAGUGAAGAAGGUCCUUCGGAUCUGUAAACCUCUGUUUGUUCGGGAAGAACAUCUUUUGGGACUAAUACGCCUGGUACCGUAUGACGGGUACCUGAAGAAAAAGCCACCGGCUUAACUACCGUUGCCCAGCAGCCCGCGGGUAAUACNUUAGGUGUGCAAAGCNGUUUAAUCGGGAAUUACUGGGGCCGUAAAAGCGCUGCGCCAGGNCGGGUUCUUUAAGUCUGAUGUGAAAAUCCCCGGGCUUAACCCUGGGAACUGCAUUUGAAACUGCCCGGCUAGAGUGCGGAAGAGGGAAGUGGAAUUCCCCGUGUAGCAGUGAAAUGCGUAGAUAUGCGGAGGAACACCGAUGGCGAAGGCAGCUCCCUGGGCUAUGCACUGACGCUCAUGCACGAAAGCGUGGGGAGCAAACAGGAUUAGAUACCCUGGUAGUCCACGCCCUAAACGAUGUCAACUGGUUGUUGGUCCUUUACUGNCUUNGUAACGUAGCUAACACGUGUUAGUUGACUCCCUGUGGAGUACACGGCUCGCAAG
This 566-nucleotide ribosomal RNA is filed under the name uncultured Comamonadaceae bacterium. RNAcentral's name for it is "bacterial SSU rRNA". It matches the Rfam family "Bacterial small subunit ribosomal RNA", at positions 366 to 892 of the family's 1533-position model. The record is from RNAcentral. Lineage: Bacteria; Pseudomonadati; Pseudomonadota; Betaproteobacteria; Burkholderiales; Comamonadaceae.